AUUGAACGCUAGCGGGAUGCUUUACACAUGCAAGUCGAACGAGUGGCGGACGGGUGAGUAAUAUAUCGGAAAGUGCCCAGUAGCGGGGGAUAACUACUAGAAAGAGUGGCUAAUACCGCCAACUCUUGGAGCGGCCGAUAUCGGAUUGGCGAGUUGGGGGGGUAAAGGCGCACAAAGGCAACGAUCCUUAGCUGGUUUGAGAGGACGACCAGCCACACUGGGCCUGAGACCCGGCCCAGACUCCUACGGGAGGCAGCAGUGGGGAAUUUUGGACAAUGGGGGAAACCCUGAUCCAGCCAUCCCGCGUGUAUGAGAAGGCCUUCGGUUUGUAAAGUACUUUUGGCAGAGAAGCGGUAUCUGCAGAAUAAGCACCGGCUAACUACGUGCCAGCAGCCGCGGUAAUAC
RNAcentral lists this ribosomal RNA (405 nucleotides) under uncultured bacterium. RNAcentral describes it as "partial 16S ribosomal RNA". It matches the Rfam family "Bacterial small subunit ribosomal RNA", at positions 30 to 526 of the family's 1533-position model. The record is from RNAcentral.